UAAAAUUUUACUUACCAGCCGAAUAACGAUCCAAGAACACAGUAGCAAUGAUUGAACGAGAAAUUUCAACAGAUAUCUGAGGAAAGCAACGAAAAUCGAAGGAGGAAGACUAAGGAGAGGAGAGGGGGGAAAAUCAGAGACGGAGAAAAAUUGAUAAGAGAAAAAUAAAAUAAAUACAAAUUAAAAAAAAUAGAUAAAACCCAACUCCCCAUUAACAACUCAAUCUCAACUACCUCAGAAUCCCAACUCCACUGAAACUCUAUCACAUAACCAAGCAAAAAUUAACACCCACGCUCGCGCAGAGGUUCAAACACUGGACAUCUAACAC
This 328-nucleotide long non-coding RNA is filed under the name Gossypium raimondii (Peruvian cotton). RNAcentral's name for it is "long non-coding RNA (GRAI_LNC007492)". The record is from RNAcentral. Lineage: Eukaryota; Viridiplantae; Streptophyta; Magnoliopsida; Malvales; Malvaceae.